CGGCUCUUGGCAGAGAUCUCUUCCAUUGUCAUAUUGCUCUUGCUGUCAGUAACCUCCUAUCUAAUUUAAACUUGCCUUCCUCCACUUUAAAGACGUACUUCCUGACAGACAUCCUUGGUCGUCCUGGAAUAUUUCUUCCCUUCUUAUAUUAUUUUCCCUCAAGGACAAAUCUAGGGUACUAAGCAUUCCCUCUUUCUUUAUUUCUGUACAUAAUAUUUUACAUUUUUUAACCUUUCCAAAGCUUUCCACUCUCAUCAGACUUGUUACUCUUCCUUCUCUUUACUUUACCACUAUCUCUUUAAUUGUGAAUUAGCCAGGACUGUACACAGUAUUCCAGUGAUGCCUUAAUUAUGCCAUGCAUAGGUGAGUUAAAAUGUCUCUAACCUUACAUGCAGUACCUCACAUUGCUUUCCUUUGUAAUCAUUUCAUAGUACAACCCAAUGGGCUCCAUUCUCAGCCAGUGCAAACUGGAAAAGCUCCACUGAAGUCAAUGGUACAUUGAUUAUUAACCUGGACUGUAUGAAGGCCUAUAUUUCUGGAAUCCUGCUCCCACUGGAAAGUGACCAGUCCUGUACCAACAUAGGGCUCUAGAGAAAGAAGAAAGUAGAAAGAAGAAAAUCCCUUUGUGCAUCAAUGGCUCAGUCCUCCUGUCCUCACCGAGACACAAUUCCCAUUGAUGUCAAUGAAAACUUUGCUUGGGGAUGCAUCCAAAGAUCAGUGAUGAAAAACUAAAUCUCCUCCAUCAGGAUAAAUUCUCUCUCUGCUCCUAUUCAACAUCAACAUGCAGCCACUAAGUAAAAUGGGGCAUGAAGGGACAUGAAGGGAAUGUCAACAUUGAGAGUCUCAUUCUUAUGGUGGAAAGGCUUUUUCAAAGAGGAAGGUUUUGCUGUGUUUACUAAAGAUGGUUCAACUCUGGAUUUACAUAAUCUCCUCAAAGUUACUUCUAUAGCUGGAUUCCCUUGACCAAGAAUGCUUUAUUCCCAGCACUCAUAUACUUUACCUUGGGUUUUGAGAUCUGUGUUGUCCCAGAGGAGCACAGAUGGUGCUUGAUAGAUCAAAAUUCAGUCUUGAACAUAUAUGGGUCUUGAUCCAUUCAUUGCUUUGAAAAUGAGGAUCAAAGCCUUACACUGGCAUCAGAAACUGACUGACAGCCAGCGGGUGGACUUGAGGAUGAGCCUAUUGUGCUCAUGCUGGCCUACGCCAUAGAGAAGGUGGCAACCACAUUCUGAGGUGGAGCUUGUGCAUUGUCUUUACAUAUACUUUAGACACAGUGAUGCAUAGUAGUCAUCCGGGAAAAGAAAAUGUAUGGAUAACUCUGGCCAGAUCUUGGUCCAGGAGGAAGGAACAAAGUUUCCUAGCAAGCUAGAUUUGAAAGAAGGUAUUUUUUAGAUGUUGAUCCUACCUGGUCCUCCAAGCUUAGUAAAGAGUCCAAGAGAACCCUGAGGCUUCACACCAAUCUGACGAAUGGGGACAGUAUGCUUUCAAUGGAAGAUGGAGCUAACAUUGCAGCUACUACUUCAAAGUGUUUCCCUUUUCCAACCACCAUACCUUCUGUCUUGCCUUGAGCAAGCUGCUCUUCAUCCUAGUGCUGAUUUCCUGUAGGUGUUCUGACAUUUUAGUAAGUGACAGUGAUUGCAUCAGUUGAGAAUGAUGGCAUCAGUUGAAUGUUGAAUGUUGUGUCAAUAUGCAGAUGACACACAGUUCUACCUAUCCUUCAUUACAUAAAACCAUAUCACCACCAUCAGAUAACCCAGUGCUUGGAAAUGAAAAAUGGCUGUUUGAUGCUUAAUCCAAACAAUAUAGAGGUUAUACUGAUGAACAGAAGAAAUCACUUUGAAGAAUUUGCAGCCACAGUGUACUCUCUUUUGGUUGAAGGUACACACCCACAAGUGGUUAAUUCUGUCUGUAGUUUAGAAGUGCUCUUGGGUUCCUUGCUGACACUAAGCUCUUACACAGCAGCAUCUAUGCAUAAUACUUUCUACCGUCUCUGGUUUGCUUGUAAACUCUCUCCCAUCCUGGUGGCCAAUGCCAUGGCCUUGGUUCUAAACACCUUUGUCAUCUCCCAGCUGGACUACAGCAAUACAAUAUAUCUGGACAUAAAUCCAAGCCUUUAGGAAACUGUAACUCAUACAGAAUGUUGCAAUGCUUCUUCUCAGCAGUGCAAGUUACCCCAAGCCUAUCAGCCCAGCCCUACCCUCUCUGCACUGACUUCCUAUAUAGUAUUGAGUCAAAUUCAAGGUCUCAGUCUUAGUCUUAAUGGUGCUCAAUGGCCUGGACCAAGGAUAUCUAAAGAUUAACUAAAGCUUUGGGAUGAAGUCAGUGGUCAGCAAUUCCAGUCCUCUGGCACAAUAGAACCUUCUACCAUCAGGAUAAAGCUCGUCUGUGCAGAAGACAGAGACAUGGAGGGGCUGGCCCAAGACAGUGGAAUUCCCACAAGAAUGGAAAACUACCACCUUCCACUCCAAGUGCAAAGUGCAGUUCUUCAGUUUUGCCUUCUCUAACACAAACAUGCAGCAGUGUAUACGUUUGCUAAGCAAAUAAAACAAGACAUAACAAAAUAAAACAAAAAAUCUCUACAAAAACCAAACACUCCACUACACAGACAAUUCUCUCCCUAGGGAGAGGGUGAGAGAAAUAUAUGACAGAUGUUAGCCAUAUUGCUUAAUGCACUGUUGGAAAGUGUUCAUAUACUGUGGUGAUGAGGAUGGCAUAAGAACUUCUGUAGAAUAGAAUAGAAUAGAAUAGAAUAGAAAGCUGAGCCCCGGGUGAAUUUUUCUGUCUUAAUGGUCUACCCUUGGCCCUGUGAUCAAGGACAAUUUCCACUUUUAUUAAAGUGGCUUUCCACAAUUCUCUUUCAGCAUGGGUGUUGCCUUCCAUUCCACAGGCUGAAUUCUUCUCUCACAUCUACACAGUAUAUUUCAGUUCCAGUACUCUAAGCACCCUAACAUAAAUUUGCAACAUGUCGGGUUCUACAUAUAUAUGUUAGAAAGAGCAUGUAUAGGAGGGUUGUAGAAUAGAGUUGGGUAAACUCAAGAUAAUUUUGCCCCAUAUCUGUUUUGUUUUUAUCAACAUGCUCUCCUCCUUACUGCUCUAAAGGGUUAAUAUGCCUUGCUGCCAAACAUCUGAUAAACUUCAAAGGUAAACACAACACAAGGAGUAGUUCUAGUGAUAACUAUUGAAUUGCAAUACAGAUAGGACACUGGCACCAAAUCAACUUGACAUUAAUAAAUUGUCAACACAUAUUUUUUGCUCAUCUGCCUUUUUAACUUUAAUGAUUAGAAAUACCAUUUAUUGAUUCAUAAUCUUCUAAUUGAGCCUGUUUCUCUUCUCACUACUACUGUUUUUACACUUGUUUCAAUAGAGUUACUCUUGAUACUUAGCAGUAUAAUUUAGAGAGAAUCAGGCCCACUAUUUUUGCUCUUACAAAUCCCCGCGGUUCAAACAGGAGAAUACAGAGAAAAGGUCUGGCUAGGGGGCAUAGACAGAGCAGGACAUUUUUAAAUGUGUUUAUUAAAUUUCAAAGGGAGCCUAGGUGUUGGAAUCCUACAGUUUAGGCUGGGGUGGGCGAGGCGAAAAGUUGAGUGUUAUUUUUUUUUAACCUAUCACUUUAAAAUAUGCUGGUUCCCACUUUGACAUACUGUGCCUAUAAAAAGACUGGGUAUAUUUUAGAUUAACAGUAUGUAUCUUUAAUUAUACUCUCUUUAGUUAACAGCUUUGAGAAUUUUAUUUUAUUAAAGAGCUUUUGCUCACCAGGCAGGUUUUUUCUAAGCUCCUACAGCUCUGCUUCAUAGCAGAUACCAAUGUCACAUCAAUCCCUAUGGGAUUCUUGGAUGCAGCUAUACUACGCGCCCUCCCACAGAGAUUUGCAAUAUUAUAGUUUAGUGCUUAUAUUCAAGUUUUCUUCUCACUGUAAAAUGUUCAGGUCUUUACUACUCUACAUUACUGUACAUCAUUUGAUGGCCAGCUGGGCUAUUUUUCAGAUGAAAUAGACUUAGCUCCAAUGUAAAAUACUGAAUCCAAGAAGUCAUAAUCCCCAGUAAAGUUGAGCUUCAAACAAACAUUUCCGUAUAGCUAAUUAUUGUUAAUAUUAUGAUGUUCUUGUUCUGGUGUGCUACAGUUCUCAGUUAUCAAGUGGUAAUAAACUUAAAAGCCAUCAAAACUCAUGAAAGAUGAUCCUUGAUGUUGCACAUCAGACUGCAACAAAGAUAGCUAGAAUAAUUUAUCUUUAUUUCCAUAACAGUGCUGGGCUUGUCUAAGGUCAGAAAUCACAUAGAACAUGGUCAUUGAGAGCAUCUGUUCUCAUCGGUGCACCCUAUCCCAAUCACAGUCAGAGACCUUCUUUCAUAUUUUCAAACUUUUACCUUUCAGAAUUUAAUAGUCCUUUUUUUUUUCAUUUUGGGCUUCAUUUAAAAAGUAUUCUGAUGAAAUCAUUCAGCUCAGCAGACAAAAAAAUCAAACUGAUACCCAAAGCCCUUUUCAUCGUCAUUUCACAUCAUUAUACAAGUGAAAAUGGUUGAACAACAAAAGAAGGCAUGCUUUAUUCCACCAUUAUUGGCCCAGCCUGCUGAAAAUAUGUAGAGCUUUCUGAGGCAUACAAGUCCCAGGAGACCACAUAGGGACGGUGCUGUGAGCUAACUCCCAGGAGACAAGCUUUGUGUGUGGAAAUGCCAGGGUUGCUCAAGGAAAAGGGAAUAGACAGAAAUUAUUCCAGAUGUGCAGGAAGAAAGACAAGACACAAGGGAUGUGGUCUGAUUAGGCCUUAACUUAAUUCAUAAGGAAACCAUCUGACAAUAAUUUGUACGAUUCAUUUAUCCUUCUUUCCAUAAUCUGUUCAGCCUGAUGGACAGCUGCCUUCAGCCCCUUCUGUUGCAUGGAAACCAAUGGGCUUCCACACAACUCUUGGCUCCUCCUUCCAAACCAUGAGAAGCUGGCUCUUCUGAUGGGCAAAACAGGGUGGGGAAGGGGAAACUCCUCUAAAAGGAGCAACAGAAGUUCAUGAAAACCUUAUGCAAUAACAUGCCUGUAAUGAUAUACUGUCCCUUUAAGACCAAGGGGUAAAGUCUCCAGAUUCUUCACUACAAAUGUGAAUGUGGAGAACAAAGGAAACAACUACUGAGACAGUGGAAGUAGUUGCAAAGUAGCAGAUGGUGGACUGAGGCUGCUAAUUCUAGCUAGGAUUUGAAAGUAGAGCCCUGAAGAGGGAACAAGGACAGGCUCCCCUGUCUCUCUCACUCAUCCAGAAGGAAUCCUGGGAAAGAGGGCAGGAUAUAAACUGCCUUCAACAGAGGAAAUACUGUGGAGGGAGUUAGAGGGUCUUGGGUAGGUUUUUCCAAAAUGAUGGAAGACUUUGGCAUAAAUUGUGAGACUCGUUACCAGUUUGGGGAAGAAGUUGCAUUCUUAACACGUACACUUGAGAGGACAAAACCUUGAGGAAGAGGGGUUUGUUUUUUUUAAGAAUUCCAAUGUCAAGGCCUUUUUGUAUAUGUUGGCCUGCUAUGAUACAUGCUGAAGAAGCUCUUUAUUAAUCCAGCCAGUAAAUAUUUGCUUAAUGUCGAGAAGUGUCAGGCUUUAUUUUCCUGAUCCUUUUUAUCUUGGCUUUGCGUAACUGUGAAUAGUCCUAGCCCUCUAAAUAACUAUUUUUUUUUAAGUCCCACUCUAAUCUUUGCCCCUAUCUUGGUGCUGUGAGGUCCGCUGUUUAAUUUUGACCUGUGUAAAAGUAUUUUGUUUGGUUAAAUAUGUUCUUUUAACUUCUACUUCCUCUUAUUCUUCUAUCAUGUCUCAAUGUUUCUCUUGCAUCAUGUUGUGUGGGUGUCUUUGGAUCUGCCUCCCAUCUCUCUUCCUGCUAGAGUUUCCUGCCUAAUAGGUGGUAUAACCUCCACAGAUGGCGCCACUAGAGAGACCAAGAGAAGCAAGUGUAAACUGUGGACUGCAUCUUGAUCUGUGGAUCUGUAAACUGAGUCAAAAUAUGUAGAUCUCUCUUAUACACACAGGAAGUAAUUCUGCUGUAUUUCCUUAAAAUAGUCACAGUGUAGUUUUAUACUUAAAAUGAUGACGGGAUACCACAAAAAUUGCCAACACAGUGGCUAUAAGAUUUCCUAUUACCACUAGCAGAUGUUAGGUAAGGACUUCCACAACCAUCCUAAUUAACUGCACACUAUAAAGAUGGAAAAUUCAGAGGUCAGCCAUUUAGAAACUACUGUUUCUAAAAUACUGUACAACAAUAUAAUGAAACACUUAUUCCUAAAUAAGAAUGAAUACAUUAUAAUGAGCUGCAGAACCAAGACAUGCAAUAUGCCUAUAUAACAAGAUCUUUUCUUAUUAAUUUGGGAUACAGUUCUAGCAACUAAAAUCAGCAGUUACCUGUGAUUGAGUGGUGUGCUGAAGAAAAGAGUUGUCACACUACUGGAACAGACAGUUCCUUUUGAUAGGACAACCUACAUACUGUAGAGAAGGAGGGGGCUAUAUAUUAAGAUUCUGAAUGUAUCUUACAGUGGCAGUUUCAUGCAGCAGUAGUUAUACCCUCCUUUCCUACUUGUAUUAAUCAGAGGUGGGAAAGGUGCUAUAGGUUGGUUGUUAUAAGCUAGUCAACGUUUGGGGUCUGGGGAUGUUCCACCUGGAAGUAGAAAAUGUUGGAGUUUGGUAUCUCCUUUGAUACAAUCUGGUUUAUUUAUAAGGAACAUACAUUCUCCAAAUGUAGAAAGAACCACGAUCUAAAGGAGCAAUUGUGACGUUCCGUACCUUGUGGGAGCAUCCUGUAACCCUCCAUAUUCCUCGUCUGUAUAUAAUUGUGAUAUUACAUAUAAAGCAUGCCUUGUAAGGUAUCAGGGGGAAAGGUUAUGAUUUGCUGAAAGUCAUUUCUCUAUCCAUAUAUAUGUAUUAUUAUUGCAUGUGAAGUUAUGAGAAUUGUGUUCUAUGGUUGUAGCUAAAACAUGCUGUAAGUUGGGGAAUCAGCCAGAUAUUAGCUCCCCAGAGGCAACAGCAAGGAAAGUAACCAAUACCCAGACGGGGUGUGAAACAACCCAUCAACAACCAUUGUCCAUCAAGGGAGCUACAAUGCAAUGACUCACCUGCAUGAGGUCACACCAGGGGGAUUGCUCAACGUUGCCUGGAGACUCAGCAAUGCCUCCCAGACAUACUUGGACUUCUGUUCUACAAGCACAUGGACUGAGGAUAUAAAAUUGAACACAGGGGGCCCAGGCUUGGCUUACUCUUCUGCCUCGACCUAUACUGCAAGCAAUUAAGACACUGAGAAGACAAGGCUCCAAUAGAGGAGAUUGACCCAGGUUUAAGGAACAAACCUGUAUAUUAAGCAAUAUCCAGUGAAGUGAGAAAAACUGCUUAAUCUAGAAGUUGCCCAGUCGAAUAGGAUUGAGAGUUUCUUUUGGUAACGAACUCUGACUUUUUGCCUAUCACUUAAAAUCUAUCUUUUAUAGUCAAUAAAU
Caretta caretta (loggerhead turtle) is the source of this 7442-nucleotide long non-coding RNA. RefSeq lists it as uncharacterized. The record is from RefSeq and is a predicted model, not a curated record. Lineage: Eukaryota; Metazoa; Chordata; Testudines; Cheloniidae.